UACGAAGGGGGCAAGCGUUGUUCGGAAUUACUGGGCGUAAAGGGCGCGUAGGCGGCUUAUCAAGUCAGGCGUGAAAUUCCCGGGCUCAACCUGGGGGCUGCGCUUGAUACUGAUUGGCUUGAAUGUUGUUGAGGUGGGCGGAACGGGUCAUGUAGCGGUGAAAUGCAUAGAUAUGACCCGGAACACCGAUUGCGAAGGCAGCCCACUAAGCAAUGAUUGACGCUGAGGCACGAAAGCGUGGGGAUCAAACAGG
Molecule: ribosomal RNA, 253 nt
Filed under: uncultured bacterium
Lineage: Bacteria
Description: partial 16S ribosomal RNA
Rfam family: Bacterial small subunit ribosomal RNA
Source: RNAcentral